Phrynosoma platyrhinos (Desert horned lizard) is the source of this 72-nucleotide non-coding RNA. NCBI's taxonomy places the organism in Eukaryota, Metazoa, Chordata, Lepidosauria, Squamata, Phrynosomatidae. The record is from the annotation of a GenBank genome assembly.
GGCAGCGUGGCAUAGUGGUUUGAGUGUUGAAUUAGGACUCUGAAAACCAGGGUUCAAAUCCCCACUCAGUUA